UACAACAGAGCAGGUAUCAGGCUCAAUAACAUUAGCCCAUUACACCUUGCCAAGCCACAUCCCCACGGAUUAACACAGCAGUGACCAACAUUAGGCAAUAAGCACAGCAAGCUUGACCUAGCUAACACCCCUAUGGCCGGCAAAUCUCGUGCCAGCAGCCGCGGUUACACGGGAGGCCAAAGAUAACACCUUAACGGCGUAAAGAGUGACUCCAGAUUUCCCCUACUACAAGACCCCGGAAUUCUGCCUCAGAGAUGAAAUCCCAAGGCAGCCAAAACUCCUAGUCAUCCCUCAGUAGGCCAUCCAACUCACGAAAACCAGGACACAAACUAGGAUU
This 337-nucleotide ribosomal RNA is filed under the name Varanus pilbarensis. RNAcentral's name for it is "partial 12S ribosomal RNA". The record is from RNAcentral. Lineage: Eukaryota; Metazoa; Chordata; Lepidosauria; Squamata; Varanidae.